RNAcentral lists this ribosomal RNA (615 nucleotides) under Chaetoceros curvisetus. RNAcentral describes it as "partial Bacterial large subunit ribosomal RNA". It matches the Rfam family "Bacterial large subunit ribosomal RNA", at positions 596 to 1210 of the family's 2925-position model. Lineage: Eukaryota; Bacillariophyta; Thalassiosirophyceae; Chaetocerotales; Chaetocerotaceae. The record is from RNAcentral.
GUGGCGUGCCUUUUGAAGAAUGAGCCUGCGAGUUAGUGAUACGUGGCGAGGUUAACCCGUGUGGGGAAGCCGUAGCGAAAGCGAGUCUGAAUAGGGCGAUUGAGUCGCGUGUCCUAGACCCGAAGCGGAGUGAUCUACCCAUGGCCAGGUUGAAGCGACGGUAAGACGUCGUGGAGGACCGAACCCACUUCAGUUGAAAAUGGAGGGGAUGAGCUGUGGGUAGGGGUGAAAGGCCAAUCAAACUCCGUGAUAGCUGGUUCUCCCCGAAAUGCAUUUAGGUGCAGCGUCACGUGUUUCUUGCCGGAGGUAGAGCACUGGAUGGUCUAGGGGGCCUAUCAGCUUACCGAAACCAGCCAAACUCCGAAUGCCGGCACGUGGAGCGCAGCAGUGAGACGGCGGGGGAUAAGCUUCGUCGUCGAGAGGGAAACAGCCCAGAUCAUCAGCUAAGGCCCCUAAGUGAUAGCUAAGUGGAAAAGGAUGUGGAGUUGCGUAGACAACCAGGAGGUUGGCUUGGAAGCAGCCAUCCUUGAAAGAGUGCGUAAUAGCUCACUGGUCGAGUGGUUCUGCGCCGACAAUGUAGUGGGGCUCAAGUACACCGCCGAAGCCGCGGCAACA